AGCUUUCUGCUUCGUAGGUGACCUGCGGAGGAUCAUUACCGAGUGAGGGCCCUCUGGGUCCAACCUCCCACCCGUGUUUAUUUUACCUUGUUGCUUCGGCGGGCCCGCCUUAACUGGCCGCCGGGGGGCUUACGCCCCCGGGCCCGCGCCCGCCGAAGACACCCUCGAACUCUGUCUGAAGAUUGUAGUCUGAGUGAAAAUAUAAAUUAUUUAAAACUUUCAACAACGGAUCUCUUGGUUCCGGCAUCGAUGAAGAACGCAGCGAAAUGCGAUACGUAAUGUGAAUUGCAAAUUCAGUGAAUCAUCGAGUCUUUGAACGCACAUUGCGCCCCCUGGUAUUCCGGGGGGCAUGCCUGUCCGAGCGUCAUUUCUGCCCUCAAGCACGGCUUGUGUGUUGGGCCCCGUCCUCCGAUCCCGGGGGACGGGCCCGAAAGGCAGCGGCGGCACCGCGUCCGGUCCUCGAGCGUAUGGGGCUUUGUCACCCGCUCUGUAGGCCCGGCCGGCGCUUGCCGAUCAACCCAAAUUUUUAUCCAGGUUGACCUCGGAUCAGGUAGGGAUACCCGCUGAACUUAAGCAUAUCAAAAGCCCGGAGGAAA
Molecule: ribosomal RNA, 596 nt
Filed under: Penicillium sp. 2557
Lineage: Eukaryota; Fungi; Ascomycota; Eurotiomycetes; Eurotiales; Aspergillaceae
Description: eukaryotic LSU rRNA
Rfam family: 5.8S ribosomal RNA (bases 215-367)
Source: RNAcentral